CGAAAACAGGCCUCGCAAAAGCGAUUGAAACCAAGAAAACAUCCGCCGUAUCUGCUGGUAUAGGGGAACUUUCUCCAAAUGGAGUCAAAAUCAUUCUAUCUGUCGACCUUCGUCGCAGCAUCGGCAAAUACCUCGCGGUUGGAGAGAAAACAAUGUGCAAUGACCUUCCCGUUCGACUCGAGGCCUCACGCCAAGCUUGUGUUUAUUAUGACAUCACAGGAAUAAUCGGACGACUGCGUCGAAGUAACAAAAUAUCUGAUGAAUGAAGAACUUGAGCUUGGAAUUUUGGUUAUUUCCGGGCAUUUCUCGGGUUGCUUUUUCACAAUCGUGCCACUCCUGAACAUUAUUCAGCUCUCCACCGUAAACCUCCUUUUCAGCGCCUUUCGUCCAUCGUUUAUCCGUUUUUCAGCCC
Molecule: small RNA, 412 nt
Filed under: Histoplasma capsulatum var. duboisii H88
Lineage: Eukaryota; Fungi; Ascomycota; Eurotiomycetes; Onygenales; Ajellomycetaceae
Description: Histoplasma capsulatum H88 hypothetical RNA
Source: RNAcentral